GGGUUGUGAGGUUAAGCGACUAAGCGUACACGGUGGAUGCCCUGGCAGUCAGAGGCGAUGAAGGACGUGCUAAUCUGCGAUAAGCGCCGGUAAGGUGAUAUGAACCGUUAUAACCGGCGAUUUCCGAAUGGGGAAACCCAGUGUGAUUCGUCACACUAUCAUUAACUGAAUCCAUAGGUUAAUGAGGCGAACCGGGGGAACUGAAACAUCUAAGUACCCCGAGGAAAAGAAAUCAACCGAGAUUCCCCCAGUAGCGGCGAGCGAACGGGGAGGAGCCCAGAGUCUGAAUCAGCAUGUGUGUUAGUGGAAGCGUCUGGAAAGGCGCGCGAUACAGGGUGACAGCCCCGUACACAAAAGCGCAUGUGCUGUGAGCUCGAUGAGUAGGGCGGGACACGUGGUAUCCUGUCUGAAUAUGGGGGGACCAUCCUCCAAGGCUAAAUACUCCUGACUGACCGAUAGUGAACCAGUACCGUGAGGGAAAGGCGAAAAGAACCCCGGCGAGGGGAGUGAAAAAGAACCUGAAACCGUGUACGUACAAGCAGUGGGAGCACAGGUUUACCUGUGUGACUGCGUACCUUUUGUAUAAUGGGUCAGCGACUUAUAUUCUGUAGCAAGGUUAACCGUAUAGGGGAGCCG
RNAcentral lists this ribosomal RNA (636 nucleotides) under Salmonella enterica. Its description in RNAcentral is "partial 23S ribosomal RNA". It matches the Rfam family "Bacterial large subunit ribosomal RNA", at positions 1 to 668 of the family's 2925-position model. RNAcentral also lists the same sequence under 1 other name. The record is from RNAcentral. Lineage: Bacteria; Pseudomonadati; Pseudomonadota; Gammaproteobacteria; Enterobacterales; Enterobacteriaceae.